Molecule: ribosomal RNA, 1000 nt
Filed under: Enterococcus hirae
Lineage: Bacteria; Bacillati; Bacillota; Bacilli; Lactobacillales; Enterococcaceae
Description: bacterial SSU rRNA
Rfam family: Bacterial small subunit ribosomal RNA
Source: RNAcentral
AGUCCGCGCGAACGGGUGAGUAACACGUGGGUAACCUGCCCAUCAGAAGGGGAUAACACUUGGAAACAGGUGCUAAUACCGUAUAACAAUCGAAACCGCAGGGUUUUGAUUUGAAAGGCGCUUUCGGGUGUCGCUGAUGGAUGGACCCGCGGUGCAUUAGCUAGUUGGUGAGGUAACGGCUCACCAAGGCGACGAUGCAUAGCCGACCUGAGAGGGUGAUCGGCCACAUUGGGACUGAGACACGGCCCAAACUCCUACGGGAGGCAGCAGUAGGGAAUCUUCGGCAAUGGACGAAAGUCUGACCGAGCAACGCCGCGUGAGUGAAGAAGGUUUUCGGAUCGUAAAACUCUGUUGUUAGAGAAGAACAAGGAUGAGAGUAACUGUUCAUCCCUUGACGGUAUCUAACCAGAAAGCCACGGCUAACUACGUGCCAGCAGCCGCGGUAAUACGUAGGUGGCAAGCGUUGUCCGGAUUUAUUGGGCGUAAAGCGAGCGCAGGCGGUUUCUUAAGUCUGAUGUGAAAGCCCCCGGCUCAACCGGGGAGGGUCAUUGGAAACUGGGAGACUUGAGUGCAGAAGAGGAGAGUGGAAUUCCAUGUGUAGCGGUGAAAUGCGUAGAUAUAUGGAGGAACACCAGUGGCGAAGGCGGCUCUCUGGUCUGUAACUGACGCUGAGGCUCGAAAGCGUGGGGAGCAAACAGGAUUAGAUACCCUGGUAGUCCACGCCGUAAACGAUGAGUGCUAAGUGUUGGAGGGUUUCCGCCCUUCAGUGCUGCAGCUAACGCAUUAAGCACUCCGCCUGGGAGUACGACCGCACGUUGAAACUCAAAGGAAUUGACGGGCCCGCACAAGCGGUGGAGCAUGUGGUUGAUUCAAGCAACGCGAGAACCUUACAAGGUCUUGACAUCCUUGACCACUCUGAGAUAGAGCUCCCCUUCGGGCAAAGUGACAGUGUGCAUGGUUGUCGUCAGCUCUGUCGUGAGAUGUGGUAGUCCCGCAACGA